Molecule: transfer RNA, 66 nt
Filed under: Melaenis sp. YZ-2018
Lineage: Eukaryota; Metazoa; Annelida; Polychaeta; Phyllodocida; Polynoidae
Description: tRNA-Tyr
Source: RNAcentral
AGCAAGAUGGCCGAGUUUCAGGCAGAAGAUUGUAGCUCUUCCAACGGGAUAAUUUUCCUCUUGUUA